RNAcentral lists this ribosomal RNA (811 nucleotides) under uncultured bacterium. RNAcentral's name for it is "bacterial SSU rRNA". It matches the Rfam family "Bacterial small subunit ribosomal RNA", at positions 8 to 796 of the family's 1533-position model. The record is from RNAcentral.
AGAGUUUGAUCCUGGCUCAGAACGAACGCUGGCGGCGUGCCUAACACAUGCAAGUCGAACGGAGUUGAGGGGCUUGCUCCUCAAUUUAGUGGCGCACGGGUGAGUAACGCGUAGAUAAUCUGCCUGAUGAUUUGGGAUAACACUUCGAAAGGGGUGCUAAUACCGAAUAAGCCCACGGAGUCCUUGGACUCUGCGGGAAAAGGGGGGGACCUUUAGGGCCUUCCGUCAUCAGAUGAGUCUGCGUACCAUUAGCUAGUUGGUAGGGUAAAGGCCUACCAAGGCGACGAUGGUUAGCUGGUCUGAGAGGAUGAUCAGCCACACUGGAACUGAGACACGGUCCAGACUCCUACGGGAGGCAGCAGUGGGGAAUUUUGCGCAAUGGGGGAAACCCUGACGCAGCAACGCCGCGUGAGUGAUGAAGGCCCUUGGGUCGUAAAGCUCUGACAGAGGGAAAGAAAUGUGGGUGGCUAAUAUCCAUACCACUUGACGGUACCCUCAAAGGAAGCACCGGCUAACUCCGUGCCAGCAGCCGCGGUAAUACGGAGGGUGCGAGCGUUGUUCGGAUUUAUUGGGCGUAAAGCGCGUGUAGGCGGUUUUAUAAGUCUGAUGUGAAAGCCCCGGGCUCAACCUGGGAAGUGCAUUGGAUACUGUAAGACUUGAAUACGGGAGAGGGCAGUGGAAUUCCUAGUGUAGGAGUGAAAUCCGUAGAUAUUAGGAGGAACACCGGUGGCGAAGGCGGCUGCCUGGACCGAUAUUGACGCUGAGACGCGAAAGCGUGGGUAGCAAACAGGAUUAGAUACCCUGGUAGUCC